UCCAAGGUAGCCUAGUGGAUAUGGCAUCUGCCCGGUAAACUGAACACUGUGGGUUCGAUUCCCAUCCUUGGAC
RNAcentral lists this transfer RNA (73 nucleotides) under Cordylochernes scorpioides. RNAcentral describes it as "tRNA-Thr". It matches the Rfam family "tRNA". From Rfam's summary of the family: Transfer RNA (tRNA) molecules are approximately 80 nucleotides in length. The record is from RNAcentral. Lineage: Eukaryota; Metazoa; Arthropoda; Arachnida; Pseudoscorpiones; Chernetidae.